AUAAUCACUUAAUAAAUAAAUUUACUGAAGUUCUUUCAAUUACAAUUGGUAUAAAUCUGUGGUUUGCUCCACAGAUUUCUGAGCAUUGUCCAAAGAAUAAUCCAGGUCGAUUUAUUGUGAAUGUUCCUUGAUUUAACCGACCUGGCGUUGCAUCAAUUUUAACCCCUAAUGCAGGAACUGCUCAUGAGUGUAGAACAUCUGAUGCUCUUGUUAAUACUCGUACUUCUGUAUUUAUUGGUAGGAUUGUUCGGUUAUCUACAUCUAGUAGUCGGAAUCCAUCAUUUUCUAGGUCUUGUUCUGGUGUUAUAUAAGUGUCAAAUUCUACGUCUAUGAAGUCUGAAUAUUCAUAUCUUCAAUAUCAUUGUCGUCCAAUGGUUUUAAUUGUAAUUAUUGCAUCUACUGAAUCAUCAAGUAAAUAUAAUAGUCGUAAUGAUGGAAGGGCAAUAAAAAUUAAUGUAAUUGCUGGUAAAGCUGUUCAGAUUGUUUCAAUUAAAUGUCCAUGAAGUAUAUUACGGUUAGUAUAGGCAAUAAAUAAUAUAUAACUUAGGGCAUAACCUACAAUUACUGUAAUUAAUAAUAAUACGACCAUAGUAUGAUCAUGAAAGAAUGAUAAUUGCUCCAUUAAUGGUGAAGCUCCAUCUUGAAGAGAUAAAUUUGAUCAUGUUGCCAUUAAUAAAUAUUUUCUAAUAAAAGGUCAAACCUUUAUUUGUAGAGCUUAAAUCUACUGCACUAAUCUGCCAUAUUAGAAUCUAGAGAUUAAUGGUAAUUCUGAGUAACUAUGUUCUGCAGGAGGGUUAUUUUGUAGUCAUUCUGUUGAUCUUCUUAUGUUAGCUCUAAAUAUAAUUGCUCGGUUUGUAAUCAUUCUUUCUCAUAUAAUUACAAUGAAUAUAAUGAUUCCUACAAUAGAAAUUGUAGACCCAAUUCUUGAUACUACGUUUCAUGAUGUAUAUGCGUCUGGGUAGUCAGAGUAUCGUCGAGGUAUUCCUGCUAAUCCUAGGAAGUGUUGAGGAAAGAAUGUUAAAUUUACUCCAAUGAAUAUAAUUGUAAAUUGGAUUUUUAAUCAUGUAUUAUUUAUAGUUAAUCCUGUAAAUAGUGGAUAUCAUUGAAUGACACCUCCUAUAAUUGCAAAUACUGCUCCUAUAGAUAAUACAUAAUGAAAGUGGGCUACUACAUAAUAUGUAUCAUGUAAUACAAUAUCAAGUGAUGAAUUUGCUAAUACUAAUCCUGUUAAUCCACCAAUUGUAAAUAGGAAAAUAAAUCCUAGAGCUCAUAAUAAUGGUGGAUUGAACUUGAAUUUAGUUCCAUAUAAUGUAUCUAAUCAUCUAAAUACCUUAAUUCCUGUAGGUACAGCAAUAAUUAUUGUUGCUGAUGUAAAAUAUGCUCGUGUGUCAACAUCCAUUCCUACUGUAAAUAUAUGAUGUGCUCAUACAAUAAAUCCUAUUAGUCCAAUUGAUAGUAUAGCAUAAAUUAUACCUAAUGUUCCAAAUGAUUCAAUUUUUCCUCUUUCUUGACAUACAAUAUGUGAAAUAAUUCCGAACCCCGGUAGAAUUAAAAUAUAAACUUCUGGGUGUCCAAAGAAUCAAAAUAGAUGUUGAUAUAGAAUUGGUUCACCCUCCUCUAGCAGGAGCUAUUGCACACGGGGGUGCAUCUGUAGAUCUAGCUAUUUUUUCACUGCACUUAGCAGGUGUAUCAUCUAUUCUUGGUGCAGUGAAUUUCAUUACAACAGCAAUUAAUAUACGAUCGGGAAGUAUAACUUUAGAUCAAACACCUUUAUUUGUAUGAUCUGUAGCUAUUACAGCAUUACUUCUCCUUCUUUCACUUCCAGUUUUAGCAGGAGCUAUUACUAUAUUAUUAACAGAUCGAAAUUUAAAUACAUCAUUCUUUGACCCUGCAGGAGGGGGUGACCCAAUUCUAUAUCAACAUCUAUUUUGAUUCUUUGGACACCCAGAAGUUUAUAUUUUAAUUCUACCGGGGUUCGGAAUUAUUUCACAUAUUGUAUGUCAAGAAAGAGGAAAAAUUGAAUCAUUUGGAACAUUAGGUAUAAUUUAUGCUAUACUAUCAAUUGGACUAAUAGGAUUUAUUGUAUGAGCACAUCAUAUAUUUACAGUAGGAAUGGAUGUUGACACACGAGCAUAUUUUACAUCAGCAACAAUAAUUAUUGCUGUACCUACAGGAAUUAAGGUAUUUAGAUGAUUAGCUACAUUAUAUGGAACUAAAUUCAAGUUCAAUCCACCAUUAUUAUGAGCUCUAGGAUUUAUUUUCCUAUUUACAAUUGGUGGAUUAACAGGAUUAGUAUUAGCAAAUUCAUCACUUGAUAUUGUAUUACAUGAUACAUAUUAUGUAGUAGCCCACUUUCAUUAUGUAUUAUCUAUAGGAGCAGUGUUUGCAAUUAUAGGAGGUGUCAUUCAAUGAUAUCCACUAUUUACAGGAUUAACUAUAAAUAAUACAUGAUUAAAAAUCCAAUUUACAAUUAUAUUCAUUGGAGUAAAUUUAACAUUCUUUCCUCAACACUUCCUAGGAUUAGCAGGAAUACCUCGACGAUACUCUGACUACCCAGACGCAUAUACAUCAUGAAACGUAGUAUGAAGAAUUGGGUCUACAAUUUCUAUUGUAGGAAUCAUUAUAUUCAUUGUAAUUAUAUGAGAAAGAAUGAUUACAAACCGAGCAAUUAUAUUUAGAGCUAACAUAAGAAGAUCAACAGAAUGACUACAAAAUAACCCUCCUGCAGAACAUAGUUACUCAGAAUUACCAUUAAUCUCUAGAU
Schistocerca gregaria is the source of this 2764-nucleotide long non-coding RNA. RefSeq lists it as uncharacterized. Lineage: Eukaryota; Metazoa; Arthropoda; Insecta; Orthoptera; Acrididae. The transcript is spliced from 2 exons. The record is from RefSeq and is a predicted model, not a curated record.